RNAcentral lists this ribosomal RNA (491 nucleotides) under uncultured Neisseria sp. Its description in RNAcentral is "bacterial SSU rRNA". It matches the Rfam family "Bacterial small subunit ribosomal RNA", at positions 30 to 508 of the family's 1533-position model. The record is from RNAcentral. Lineage: Bacteria; Pseudomonadati; Pseudomonadota; Betaproteobacteria; Neisseriales; Neisseriaceae.
AUUGAACGCUGGCGGCAUGCUUUACACAUGCAAGUCGGACGGCAGCACAGAGAAGCUUGCUUCUUGGGUGGCGAGUGGCGAACGGGUGAGUAAUAUAUCGGAACGUACCGAGCAGUGGGGGAUAACUAAUCGAAAGAUUAGCUAAUACCGCAUAUUUUCUGAGGAAGAAAGCAGGGGACCAUUUGGCCUUGCGCUGUUUGAGCGGCCGAUAUCUGAUUAGCUAGUUGGUGGGGUAAAGGCCUACCAAGGCGACGAUCAGUAGCGGGUCUGAGAGGAUGAUCCGCCACACUGGGACUGAGACACGGCCCAGACUCCUACGGGAGGCAGCAGUGGGGAAUUUUGGACAAUGGGCGCAAGCCUGAUCCAGCCAUGCCGCGUGUCUGAAGAAGGCCUUCGGGUUGUAAAGGACUUUUGUCAGGGAAGAAAAGGGCGGGGUUAAUACCCCUGUCUGAUGACGGUACCUGAAGAAUAAGCACCGGCUAACUACGUGC